GACGAAGGAUCCAAGCGUUAUCCGGAUUUAUUGGGUUUAAAGGGUGCGUAGGCGGAUUGAUAAGUCAGUGGUGAAAGCCUGCAGCUUAACUGCAGAACUGCCAUUGAUACUGUCAAUCUUGAAUGUGGUUGAUGUGGGCGGAAUAUGACAUGUAGCGGUGAAAUGCUUAGAUAUGUCAUAGAACACCGAUUGCGAAGGCAGCUCACAAAGCCAUUAUCGACGCUGAGGCACGAAAGCGUGGGGAUCAAACAGG
Molecule: ribosomal RNA, 253 nt
Filed under: uncultured bacterium
Lineage: Bacteria
Description: partial 16S ribosomal RNA
Rfam family: Bacterial small subunit ribosomal RNA
Source: RNAcentral